UACGUAGGGGGCUAGCGUUGUCCGGAAUCAUUGGGCGUAAAGCGCGUGUAGGCGGUCCGGUAAGUCCGCUGUGAAAGUCGGGGGCUCAACCCUCGAAUGCCGGUGGAUACUGUCGGGCUAGAGUACGGAAGAGGCGAGUGGAAUUCCAGGUGUAGCGGUGAAAUGCGUAGAUAUCUGGAGGAACACCGGUGGCGAAGGCGCGAUUCUGGUCCGUUACUGACGCUGAGGCGCGAAAGCCAGGGGAGCAAACGGG
RNAcentral lists this ribosomal RNA (253 nucleotides) under uncultured bacterium. Its description in RNAcentral is "partial 16S ribosomal RNA". It matches the Rfam family "Bacterial small subunit ribosomal RNA", at positions 524 to 776 of the family's 1533-position model. The record is from RNAcentral.